RNAcentral lists this unclassified non-coding RNA (213 nucleotides) under Melitaea cinxia (Glanville fritillary). Its description in RNAcentral is "misc RNA ENSMCXG00005001235.1". The record is from RNAcentral. Lineage: Eukaryota; Metazoa; Arthropoda; Insecta; Lepidoptera; Nymphalidae.
UCGACUGUACAAUGGCUGCUCUUAUAAAGGGUAAUAUAUAUAGAAUGUUGUAUGAUUGUUGGACGUCAGUGUAUUCUUGUAUUUAUUACUUUAUUCUUGCAUAGAUGGCGCGGCUCGCGACAGUGUUUUCGCUAUUCGUAGUUGUUUUAUUUAAAUAGCUUUGGAUACAAAUAUACAUACAUACAUACAUAUUUAGUGGUUUAAAAAUGCAAA